Long non-coding RNA from Papaver somniferum (opium poppy), 552 nucleotides. RefSeq lists it as uncharacterized. Lineage: Eukaryota; Viridiplantae; Streptophyta; Magnoliopsida; Ranunculales; Papaveraceae. The record is from RefSeq and is a predicted model, not a curated record. The transcript has 3 exons.
AAUCAACAGAACUCCAACUCCUGUUCUUAAUGAAAAAUCUACAUUUCAAGUGUUAUAUAAUGAACUUCCUGAUUAUUCUUUUUUAAGAGUCUUUGGUUGUAUUUGUUAUCCCUUUUUGGGUCAUUCUAGAGCAGAUAAAUUGUCACCAAAAUCUGUUAAAUGCAUCUUCAUUGGAUAUAGUACUUUACACAAAGGCUAUUCUUAUGAGGACGCUUAGGGGAGAAGGAGUUGGGAGGGGGGCGUGAUGACACUCUGAGAGCAAGCAACAUCCUUCGAUCAGGAAUUCAGCCAUUUAGAAAAGCCUCAGUGUGUGCAUCCUUGAGAAGCCAUGAAGAUGGGUCCGUAUAUAACUAUUCGAAUCUAAGCUUUUUCUUGCCCAGGCUAGGUUGUUUCUAAGAAUAUAUACAGACAUCAUUCUGGCAGAUGAUUCAUUUUGUUAUUUUAUCUAUUAUUCAGUCUACUAUUUAGACGUAAUGUUGGAACCCAAUGAGCCUCUGCUCCUAAUAUUCAGACUUGAUUAUUUUUUUACUGUAAGAAUCGUAUUAUAUGAAA